UACGAAGGGGAGGCUAGCGUUGUUCGGAAUUACUGGGCGUAAAGCGCGCGCAGGCGGCCUGUUAAGUCGGGUGUGAAAGCCCUGGGCUCAACCCAGGAAGUGCACUCGAAACUGGCGGGCCUGAAUAUGGAAGAGGGUCGCGGAAUUCCCGGUGUAGAGGUGAAAUUCGUAGAUAUCGGGAGGAACACCAGUGGCGAAGGCGGCGCCUGGGCCAAUAUUGACGCAUGAG
This 229-nucleotide ribosomal RNA is filed under the name uncultured bacterium. RNAcentral's name for it is "partial 16S ribosomal RNA". It matches the Rfam family "Bacterial small subunit ribosomal RNA", at positions 524 to 750 of the family's 1533-position model. The record is from RNAcentral.